UCCCUGGAGGACUAGUAGUUAGACCACAGCGCUCUCUCCACUGCAGCCUGGGUUCGAUUCCCAGCCAGGGAA
This 72-nucleotide transfer RNA is filed under the name Pangasianodon hypophthalmus (striped catfish). It matches the Rfam family "tRNA". From Rfam's summary of the family: Transfer RNA (tRNA) molecules are approximately 80 nucleotides in length. Their secondary structure includes four short double-helical elements and three loops (D, anti-codon, and T loops). Lineage: Eukaryota; Metazoa; Chordata; Actinopteri; Siluriformes; Pangasiidae. The record is from Rfam by way of RNAcentral.